This 16-nucleotide small RNA is filed under the name Arabidopsis thaliana (thale cress). Its description in RNAcentral is "ATSL296490". The record is from RNAcentral. Lineage: Eukaryota; Viridiplantae; Streptophyta; Magnoliopsida; Brassicales; Brassicaceae.
AUAUUUGUUUUAGGAA